GUACUCAUCAUCGUCUUCCUUCCGUCAGCGUUGUAAUCUGAAGAACGCGGGCGGAGAUGGAGUUUUUUGGAAUGGAUUUCAGCUGUGUUUUCGGAUCUCUAAGCCACGGCAAGUUCCCAGAGAAAGAUUGCUUGCUUCCCCUCAUCUCUAAGCUCCUCGGCUAUUGCAUUGUUGCCGCUUCAACCACCGUCAAACUUCCUCAGAUAAUGAAGAUCUUGAAACAUCAGAGUGUCAGAGGACUUAGUGUUAUAUCCUUUGAGCUAGAAGUCGUCGGUUACACUAUUGCUCUGGCUUAUUGUGUCCACAAAGGGCUUCCAUU
This 319-nucleotide unclassified non-coding RNA is filed under the name Hevea brasiliensis (rubber tree). The record is from RNAcentral. Lineage: Eukaryota; Viridiplantae; Streptophyta; Magnoliopsida; Malpighiales; Euphorbiaceae.